Molecule: ribosomal RNA, 466 nt
Filed under: uncultured bacterium
Lineage: Bacteria
Description: partial 16S ribosomal RNA
Rfam family: Bacterial small subunit ribosomal RNA
Source: RNAcentral
GACGAACGCUGGCGGUGUGCUUAACACAUGCAAGUCGAACGGUAAGGCCCUUUCGGGGGUACACGAGUGGCGAACGGGUGAGUAACACGUGAGUAACCUGCCCUCAUCUCUGGGAUAACAGUCGGAAACGGUUGCUAAUACUGGAUAUGAGCUUGCAAGGCAUCUUGUGGGUUGGAAAGAUUUUUUUGGUUGGGGAUGGACUCGCGGCCUAUCAGCUUGUUGGUGAGGUAGUGGCUCACCAAGGCUUCGACGGGUAGCCGGCCUGAGAGGGCGACCGGCCACAUUGGGACUGAGAUGCGGCCCAAACUCCUACGGGAGGCAGCAGUGGGGAAUAUUGCACAAUGGACGGAAGUCUGAUGCAGCAACGCCGCGUGCGGGAUGACGGCCUUAGGGUUGUAAACCGCUUUCAAUUGUGACGAAGCUUUUUGUGACGGUAGCAGUAGAAGAAGCACCGGCUAACUACGUG